UACGUAGGCAGCGAGCGUUGUUCGGAGUUACUGGGCGUAAAGGGUGCGUAGGCGGUUGUUUAAGUUUGGUGUGAAAUCUCCCGGCUCAACUGGGAGGGUGCGCCGAAUACUGAAUGACUAGAGUGCGGGAGAGGAGAGUGGAAUUCCUGGUGUAGCGGUGAAAUGCGUAGAUAUCAUUUGGAACGCCAAUGGUGAAAACAGGUAGCUGGGGCUGUGCUGACGCUGAGACACGAAAGCCAGGGGAGCAAACGGG
This 253-nucleotide ribosomal RNA is filed under the name uncultured bacterium. RNAcentral describes it as "partial 16S ribosomal RNA". It matches the Rfam family "Bacterial small subunit ribosomal RNA", at positions 524 to 776 of the family's 1533-position model. The record is from RNAcentral.